AGAGUUGAUAUGGCUCAGGAUGAACGCUAGCUACAGGCUUAACACAUGCAAGUCGAGGGGCAGCAUGACGAUAGCUUGCUAUGUGAUGGCGACCGGCGCACGGGUGAGUAACGCGUAUCCAACCUUCCCUAUAGUAGAGAAUAGCCCGGCGAAAGUCGGAUUAAUGCUCUAUGUUGAUUUUGCGGACAUCUAACGAAUACCAAAGGUUUACCGCUAUAGGAUGGGGAUGCGUCUGAUUAGGUUGUUGGCGGGGUAACGGCCCACCAAGCCGUCGAUCAGUAGGGGUUCUGAGAGGAAGGUCCCCCACAUUGGAACUGAGACACGGUCCAAACUCCUACGGGAGGCAGCAGUGAGGAAUAUUGGUCAAUGGACGGAAGUCUGAACCAGCCAAAGUAGCGUGCAGGAUGACGGCCCUAUGGGUUGUAAACUGCUUUUAUACAGGGAUAAAGUCGGGGACGUGUUCCCGUUUGUAGGUACUGUAUGAAUAAGGACCGGCUAAUUCCGUGCCAGCCGCGGC
Molecule: ribosomal RNA, 517 nt
Filed under: uncultured bacterium
Lineage: Bacteria
Description: bacterial SSU rRNA
Rfam family: Bacterial small subunit ribosomal RNA
Source: RNAcentral